RNAcentral lists this ribosomal RNA (483 nucleotides) under uncultured bacterium. RNAcentral's name for it is "bacterial SSU rRNA". It matches the Rfam family "Bacterial small subunit ribosomal RNA", at positions 30 to 507 of the family's 1533-position model. The record is from RNAcentral.
UUGAACGCUGGCGGCAUGCCUUACACAUGCAAGUCGAACGGCAGCACGGGAGCAAUCCUGGUGGCGAGUGGCGAACGGGUGAGUAAUAUAUCGGAACGUGCCCAGUCGUGGGGGAUAACGUAGCGAAAGCUACGCUAAUACCGCAUACGAUCUAUGGAUGAAAGCGGGGGAUCGCAAGACCUCGCGCGAUUGGAGCGGCCGAUAUCAGAUUAGGUAGUUGGUGAGGUAAAGGCUCACCAAGCCGACGAUCUGUAGCUGGUCUGAGAGGACGACCAGCCACACUGGGACUGAGACACGGCCCAGACUCCUACGGGAGGCAGCAGUGGGGAAUUUUGGACAAUGGGCGCAAGCCUGAUCCAGCAAUGCCGCGUGCAGGAUGAAGGCCUUCGGGUUGUAAACUGCCUUUGUACGGAACGAAACGGUGAGCUCUAAUACAGUUUGCUAAUGACGGUACCGUAAGAAUAAGCACCGGCUAACUACGUG